GAUCCUGGCUCAGGACGAACGCUGGCGGCGUGCUUAACACAUGCAAGUCGAACGGGGCGCUUAUGAUGGAGAUUUCGGUCAACGGAUUAAGUUGCCUAGUGGCGGACGGGUGAGUAACGCGUGAGUAACCUGCCUUUCAGAGGGGGGACAACAGUUGGAAACGACUGCUAAUACCGCAUAAUAUAUAUGGACCGCAUGAUCUGUAUAUCAAAGAUUUAUCGCUGAAAGAUGGACUCGCG
This 239-nucleotide ribosomal RNA is filed under the name uncultured bacterium. Its description in RNAcentral is "partial 16S ribosomal RNA". It matches the Rfam family "Bacterial small subunit ribosomal RNA", at positions 15 to 235 of the family's 1533-position model. The record is from RNAcentral.